AGUAACACGUGGAUAACCUACCUAUAAGACUGGGAUAACUUCGGGAAACCGGAGCUAAUACCGGAUAAUAUUUUGAACCGCAUGGUUCAAAAGUGAAAGACGGUCUUGCUGUCACUUAUAGAUGGAUCUGCGCUGCAUUGGCUAGUUGGUAAGGUAACGGCUUACCAAGGCAACGAUGCAUAGCCGACCUGAGAGGGUGAUCGGCCACACUGGAACUGAGACACGGUCCAG
This 231-nucleotide ribosomal RNA is filed under the name uncultured Staphylococcus sp. RNAcentral describes it as "partial 16S ribosomal RNA". It matches the Rfam family "Bacterial small subunit ribosomal RNA", at positions 109 to 334 of the family's 1533-position model. Lineage: Bacteria; Bacillati; Bacillota; Bacilli; Caryophanales; Staphylococcaceae. The record is from RNAcentral.